This 495-nucleotide ribosomal RNA is filed under the name uncultured bacterium. RNAcentral's name for it is "partial 16S ribosomal RNA". It matches the Rfam family "Bacterial small subunit ribosomal RNA", at positions 30 to 523 of the family's 1533-position model. The record is from RNAcentral.
AUUGAACGCUGGCGGAAUGCUUACACAUGCAAGUCGAACGGUAGAGGGGGCAGCCCCUCGAGAGUGGCGAACGGGUGAGUAAUAUAUCGGAACGUGCCCAGUCGUGGGGGAUAACGUAGCGAAAGUUACGCUAAUACCGCAUACGAUCUAAGGAUGAAAGCGGGGGAUCGCAAGACCUCGCGCGAUUGGAGCGGCCGAUAUCAGAUUAGGUAGUUGGUGGGGUAAAGGCUCACCAAGCCAACGAUCUGUAGCUGGUCUGAGAGGACGACCAGCCACACUGGAACUGAGACACGGUCCAGACUCCUACGGGAGGCAGCAGUGGGGAAUUUUGGACAAUGGACGCAAGUCUGAUCCAGCCAUUCCGCGUGCAGGAUGAAGGCCCUCGGGUUGUAAACUGCUUUUGUACGGAACGAAAAGGUCUCUCUUAAUACGGGGGACUCAUGACGGUACCGUAAGAAUAAGGACCUGCAAAACUCGUGCCAGCCGCCGCAGUAA